This is a long non-coding RNA of Salarias fasciatus (jewelled blenny), 1332 nucleotides long. RefSeq lists it as uncharacterized. Lineage: Eukaryota; Metazoa; Chordata; Actinopteri; Blenniiformes; Blenniidae. The transcript is spliced from 3 exons. The record is from RefSeq and is a predicted model, not a curated record.
GGCGCUGUCCUUCCUUUUCCCCCCGCCUGUCGGACCGUCUUAUCUGUCAGCCCCGCUCCUCCCCGCCUCCUGCAGCUGCGACCUCGGGCCACAGACGCCUUCAUUGUCCUCCUCUUCCUCGCCCUCACGCUCCUGCGCCCGGCCACAUCACACCUGCCACCUGCGCCGGGCCGCCGGGCCCCGGGGCCCGAGCCGCCCAGGGCUUUUCAUCCACCCCUCCAGAGCCUCUCAUCCCCUCGUCCCGGCGCCCUGUCACUGAGGAAUGGCCGGAGCACGGGAGGCCGAGGAGCAGCGGGGCACAGGGCUGCCGUUGUGGCGGCGGGUGUUUUAAGCAGAGCCAGAGGGAAUCAGCGCAGAGCAAGAAAGAUUAAGAGGGAGAAUACGGCAGAUAAACCGCAGCUCCUCUGUGACCGGUUAUCAUAUCCUGGGCGAGAGCAGAACAUGCUGAAGAGGCCAGAAGACAAAAACACUCCGACUGAUGCAUGAGGCGUCGCUAAAGACGAGUAAAACACGCUCACUGAUCCUUCUCUAACUCUUAGAUUUCUUUUUGCAUACACUGAAUGCAAUAAAGCACAUAGUUCUGACAUUGUUAACAGCAGAGUGUGUGAAGAACUGCGGAUCUAUUUGUUUUUCUGUUGUGUGUUUUGGUUUUUAUUCCCUUUCUCAUGUGUUACUUUGAUGCAAUGAAAGACUUUGCAUUUUUUUCACAAAUCUGCAAACAGAAGUUUAUUGUAUUUCAGUUUGAAAGUCAAAGUUUGCAUGAAAUUAUCUGAAUGAUUCACCAAUCACGCAGAUUGAUUGAGAAGGGUGCGAGUGUGGCGGAGUUACUGUCUGUUUCUCUGUUUGCUCUGUGAUCUGUUGUCUGUUGUCGUGGUUCUGGGGAAGAAACCCUUUUCCAGUCUGGAUAAACCAAACAGUUUGCUGUUUCUGAUCCUGUAGCUUCUCUCUGACAGAAAGACGGCAAACAGUUCUUGUUUGUCUUCCAGAUUUCUUUCUUCUGGUCGAGUAGCAUCACCAGUGAUCAACAGUCAAGCACCCGCACACACAUUCACACAAAUAAACCUGACAAGUGUGUCUGGAAUGCAUUAAGAUGCAAUCACAUUUAAAAUAAAUAAAUAAAUCCCACAUAUCUUCUCUGAUUGAAUCUUUUUUCUUACAGUCCUCAAAACUGAAAACUCAUCCGUUCAUUUGAUGCAGAUACAUUUUAAAGUAUGAGAAGUUAACUGAAAUGUGGAGUGUGAAAACUUCAAGCGGUUUCUGUUCGAUUAUGAAAAUGAUAUUUUGAAAAGGUUUCUCUGUGAUUUUUUUUUCUUUUUCUUUUGUUACCUGACA